This is a long non-coding RNA of Zingiber officinale, 588 nucleotides long. RefSeq lists it as uncharacterized. The record is from RefSeq and is a predicted model, not a curated record. The transcript has 2 exons. Lineage: Eukaryota; Viridiplantae; Streptophyta; Magnoliopsida; Zingiberales; Zingiberaceae.
GGACAGCUCACCACCGGGUUAAGAGGAUGCGGUCAACCUUCCAGACACGUCAUACCGGCAGAUCAUACAAUUACUACAUUUUCAUCAAAUUCAAUCGCAUACUUCACGUCCAUGGCAAAAACAAAGCUCAAGAUCCUGGUGCCAUAGCAUGAUCUGCAUCAAGAACAGUACUCACUCCCAAACUUUUCAGUCAAAAAGUCAUAUGCGUCCUAAUGUUCUAUGACAUCAACCUUCACCACACAAGAAAGCAGGCAAUCCAGCAUCGUUCUGAAUCCAAAGCAGGAAGAGCUUUUGCUCGUCAUCUUCUUCUUCUUCCUGCUGCUCCUCUGUUUCCUCUUCCUCUCCUUGGCGGAUGCACUGCAAAUCCUGUGGUAGUGCUUGUACCUGCGGCCACUGAAAUCCUCAUGCCACCACGUCGAAGAUGAAACGAAGCUCCCAUUAUCUGGCACCAGCUGCUUCAUCGACUCCGCGUCCGCCUCUGCUCCGCGCUCGCUAAGCUUCUCGUAUCUCAUCUUGCGAUCUCACCUUUCUCUUCUCCUCUGCGCGCGGCUCUUUCUGAUUAAUUAAGUUCCUUCACGAUUCUUUUCA